CAUUUAAUUAUUUUAUUUUAUUUAACAUUUUAUUUUAUUUAAUUAUUCUAAUUUUUAUUAGUUUUUUAAUUAGAAUUGAUUUAUUUAAUUAUAGUGAAUAAGUAAAGUAAUUGGAUUAUAAAGUUUUAUUAGAAUUUAAUAAGUACUUUUGGUUUAAGGUACCUUUUGUAUCAGGGUUGAUUAAUAUUUUUGUGUCAAUUUACUUAUCUCGAUUUAGGUUGAUUUAUAAUUAAAUUUUUUUAUUGUGUUAAGAAUAUUUUAAAUUUAAUUAUAGAAGUGAAAUGUUAUUCGUUUCCUAAGAUAUCUAGUUUUUCAAGAAAAAUUUUAAUUUUUUAUGGUUUAUUGAUUAUUUACAAUUUUUUGUUUAUAAUUAUUUACUUAUUAAUACUUUAGGGGAUAAGCUCUUGAGUUAAUUUAUUCUAUAAUAUUUAAUUGAUAAUUUAAGAGUAGGCUUUUAACCAGUUAUCUUUUUGAUUACGUUUUAGUUCAUUUUUUAAUUUAUGAUUUAUAAUAAUGUUCUUAGUUAUUUUAUUGAAAUAUUUAAGUUAAUUUUAUUUUUAUUUUAAUUAUGAUUGAAUUAGUAUAUUUUUAUAUUUAAUUUGUUUUUGUUUAUAAUUUGAUUUAAGGAAUUAGGCAAAAAUUUUCUUCGCCUGUUUAUCAAAAACAUGUCUUUUUGAAUAAUAAUAUAAGGUCUGACCUGCUCACUGAGUUAUUUUAAAGAGCCGCGGUAUUUUGACCGUGCAAAGGUAGCAUAAUCAUUAGUCUUUUAAUUGGAGGCUGGAAUGAAUGGUCUGACGAAAGGGGGACUGUCUAGAUUUUAAUUAAUAAAAUUUAACUUUUAAGUUAAAAGGCUUAAAUUUGACUUUAGGACGAAAAGACCCUAUAGAGCUUUAUAUUUUAUUUAAGAUCAUUUUUUUGAUAAUUUAUUUUGUUUAUUAAUUAAAAUAUUUUGUUGGGGUGACAGAAAGAAUAAUUAAACUCUUUAUGAUUAAUAUCAUUGAUUUAUGAAGGAUUGAUCCAUAAUUUAUGAUUAUAAGAUUAAGUUACCUUAGGGAUAACAGCGUAAUUAUUUUUUAGAGUUCAUAUCAACAAAAUAGAUUGCGACCUCGAUGUUGGAUUAAGAAAAGUUUUAGGUGUAUCAGUUUAAAAACUAGGUCUGUUCGACCUUUAAAAUCUUACAUGAUCUGAGUUCAGACCGGUGUAAGCCAGGUCGGUUUCUAUCCUAAGUUUAUGUUUUAUAUUAGUACGAAAGGACCAUAUAAUUGAAAUAUUUUUUAUAUUUAUUGAUUUAUGUUAAUUU
Molecule: ribosomal RNA, 1300 nt
Filed under: Sphenacris crassicornis
Lineage: Eukaryota; Metazoa; Arthropoda; Insecta; Orthoptera; Pyrgomorphidae
Description: 16S ribosomal RNA
Rfam family: Archaeal large subunit ribosomal RNA (bases 863-1227)
Source: RNAcentral